Astyanax mexicanus (Mexican tetra) is the source of this 901-nucleotide long non-coding RNA. RefSeq lists it as uncharacterized. Lineage: Eukaryota; Metazoa; Chordata; Actinopteri; Characiformes; Acestrorhamphidae. The transcript has 3 exons. The record is from RefSeq and is a predicted model, not a curated record.
UUGUCCGGUUAACUAGUGCCGCAGUUUUCGAAAUAUCGACUUCGUCCAAAAGAGAAAACGUGCGUCCUUAUCGGGAAUGGUGGGCUUGUAUACAGCUUUCCGAUCGGACUUACGUUUUUCGUAAAAACUUCGUAAGUACCCGUUUUUUUGCCCAUUGAAAAUGAAUGGGCAGAACUUUGCACGCCUGUGGACGUCGCAAUUUUUGAAAUACGAAGAUGAAACCAAUUGAGGACCUGUAGAACUUAUUGAGCUCUUUCCGAAAAUAUGCGUUACGAAAAGUUACGACGUACGGAUUUCGUACGAUUGUCGUACGAAGUGGCCCCAUUGUAAUGAAUGGGGCCAAUCGGAGGACGGCAGCUAGAUCGAAGGACAGGUAGCUAGAACUCCAGUACUGUGUGUAAUGGAGCAGCUAUGGGAUAAAACAGCAUUAGGUCAAAAGUUUGGACACCCCGGCCCCCCAGUACUGUGUGUAAUGGAGCCACGGCUCAAAAGUUUGGACACCCCGGCCCCCCCAGUACUGUGUGUAAUGGAGCCACGGGUCAAAAGUUUGGACACCCCGGCCCCCCAGUACUGUGUGUAAUGGAGCCACGGGUCAAAAGUUUGGACACCCCAGCCCCCCAGUACUGUGUGUAAUGGAGCCACGGGUCAAAAGUUUGGACACCCCAGAGCCCCAGUACUGUGUGUAAUGGAGCCACGGGUCAAAAGUUUGGACACCCCAGAGCCCCAGUACUGUGUGUAAUGGAGCCACGGGUCAAAAGUUUGGACACCCCGGCCCCCGAGUACUGUGUGUAAUGGAGCCACGGGUCAAAAGUUUGGACACCCCCGAACGGCCAAAGCAACCUAGCGUGCAUAGCUGAUUGAUGUAUUUGCACGUUGCGUAGCAACGUGCAAACACCAUUUA